UACGGAGGAGGCAAGCGUUAUCCAGAAUGAUUGGGCGUAAAGGAUUUGUAAAUGGUUUGAUGUGUCUACUGUUAAAGCCAGUCGCUCAACAACUGAGAUGCGGCAGAAACUACCAGACUGGAGCACAUAGAGGCAACGGGAAUUCCCAGAGUAGCGGUGAAAUGCGUAGAGCUUGGAAAGAACACCAAUGGCGAAAGCACGUUGCUGGGCUGUGGCUGACACUCAUGGACGAAAGCUAGGGGAGCGAAACGG
This 252-nucleotide ribosomal RNA is filed under the name uncultured prokaryote. RNAcentral's name for it is "partial 16S ribosomal RNA". It matches the Rfam family "Bacterial small subunit ribosomal RNA", at positions 524 to 776 of the family's 1533-position model. The record is from RNAcentral.